UGCAGCCUUAGAUUUCACCAAAGAAU
RNAcentral lists this unclassified non-coding RNA (26 nucleotides) under Mus musculus (house mouse). RNAcentral's name for it is "oocyte_clustered_small_RNA8168". The record is from RNAcentral. Lineage: Eukaryota; Metazoa; Chordata; Mammalia; Rodentia; Muridae.